RNAcentral lists this transfer RNA (73 nucleotides) under Synechococcus phage S-PM2. RNAcentral describes it as "tRNA-Asn". Lineage: Duplodnaviria; Heunggongvirae; Uroviricota; Caudoviricetes; Pantevenvirales; Kyanoviridae. The record is from RNAcentral.
UCCGUAAGGAUACUCCCUAGUGUUUAUCAGGGUUUUCUGACAUGAAAUUUAGAGUUUUCCACAACGUUGUGGA